UCAUUUCAGAGCACUGAUCAGGGAUAGUGACUGACUGACACUGCUGCAAAAACUCUACAGUCAGCAAAAUACAAACAGGUUUUAGAUACAGAGACAGCAGAACAGCAUGGCCACUGCGAAUGAAAAAGACACAGUGUGGAUCGGGUUCAUGGAUAUCGUUCCGGUCAUCGGGAAGGUUAAAGAGGCAGUGGAGCUGGUGCUGGCUCUGUACGAAGGGAAUAAAGCGGUGAUAAAGGAGAAAGAGAAGGCCGUUGAAAACAUUGUGAAAUUUUGAUUUUAAGGAUGUAAUCAUCUCUUAUGAGGCUCAGAGUUCCCGAAGUGAAUUAUUUUCAUACAGCAGCAUGGUCUAUCAUGUGUUAUUCUUUGCAUACAAUAUGGUAUAAUUAUUGCAUGUCACAGUGCACCAUCAUGCCAGUCUAUGUCCAGUCUAUGUCCAGUCCAUUUAAUUUUUUUAUCUUUCCAUAACUAGAAGAUGACUAAAUCAGCAGCAUUUCCAGCUGAUAAAUCAGCAGCAUUUCCAGCUGAUAAAACAGCAGCAGCUGCAGCUGAAUUUUCUGGACUCGGAAAUGUGAGAGAGGUCAGAAUGGAAAUGGUUAUUGUACAUCUGGCCCAAGCUUUCACAAGGGGAAAAAAAGUUCAAACUUCAGCUGAGCAGAAAAGUGAGCAGAAAGACAGACAGAAAAAAAUGGAGUACAUUAAGAAAGACAUGUUAGAAAAGAUCCAUAUGAUCGAUCCAAACUUCAAUGAGGAGCUGAAGGAAGAACUGAGAAGGUCACAAAGAGGCGAACAUGUCUUCAACAAUAACAUUCUUAAAUUUCAUUGCAAAGUGCUAGAUGAUUUUAUACAAGAACAAAAUAUUGAUAAUCUACAAAGAUAUAAUCCGCAGGAAAUGGAUACAUUACGCAGACAGACACUUACCCAAAAUGCAGAAGAAGAAAUUCAGACAAACAUGGUGGUUCACUUUGGUGAGGAUGAAUUCUAUGUGAAUGCAAAUGCAGUGAUAUAUGGUGUAUAUUGCAGAGCACUGCGUGGUGCUUUGUUAAAUGUGCUGCGCCACAUAAACCCAGGUGAGGUGGCAGAAGAGAAGAGACAUUGGGUGAAUUUUGUCAUAAAUACUAUGAAUAACUAUGAAAUCUAUGUGGACCAAAUGGCAAAGGUCCGUUGGAUUGCCAAUAUAGAGACUAGACGGGCCCGGUUUGAACGGGUAAAACAGGAAGUUGUGACCAUGUAUAACACAGAUCGUGGGUAUGACUGGUGCAUUAGCAUUCUGCAUGAAGUUGCAGGUUUGUUUGAACAUAGACAGUGAGUUCAUUUCUCCUGUUCAGGGUUGCCAGGUUUCCUUUCAAAAUUUCCAUCUUAACUACAUCCUAAAUCCCACAGACCUGAAACUAGCUGAAAGUUUGGACACUGGAAGAAACAAAGUUCACUGUGGUGCACACAUAUUUGUAUGUUUGCAAUGUUUCCAACACACUUAGGGUCAGAGUUUUGUCACCCAUAGCCUGUUACAACUGUUAUUUUUUAUUUUAUUUAUUUCAUUUAUUUGUACAGGGACAACGUACAACAACAGUGUCAUGCCAGAGUUAGCUAUAAAGCUAAUUUGUAUCUGCAAUCCCUGGGCAGGAUGUUCUUACAAAAUUACAAUAUUAAGUGACAAACAAUACAAUAAAUAUUACACAUACAACAUCACAUCAUACUACAUUAAAUUACAAAUCCAAGUCAAUGAUCACAUAUCUGAUUUUCCUUAAGCCAUACUUUAAGCAUAGUUGUAAAAAUACUAAGUGUUGCACACUCUCUAAUAUAAACAGGUCUUAAAUUCCAUCUUUCUGCUGCUCUAACCGAAAAAGCUGAUUGUCCAAAAAUAGUUUCUUAAAUUUAGUUGAACAGUCACCUCUAACUGAUGACCUAGUCUGCCUGAUAUUGUCCUUUCAGAAAGUCACACAUUGUUUAAGAGGUGGUGGUGCAAGAUUAUGAAAUACUUUGUACAUUAAACAGACAUCAGCAAAUAAAAAAAAAAAUGUUAA
Molecule: RNA transcript, 2021 nt
Organism: Cyprinus carpio (common carp)
Lineage: Eukaryota; Metazoa; Chordata; Actinopteri; Cypriniformes; Cyprinidae
Exons: 4
Source: RefSeq, a predicted model, not a curated record